RNAcentral lists this unclassified non-coding RNA (227 nucleotides) under plant metagenome. RNAcentral describes it as "partial contains small subunit ribosomal RNA, internal transcribed spacer 1, and 5.8S ribosomal RNA". The record is from RNAcentral.
UCUCCGUAGGUGAACCUGCGGAGGGAUCAUUACAGAGUUCUCGCCCUCGCGGGUAGAUCUCCCACCCACUGUUAUUUCUACCGUGUUCCUUUGGCGGGCUGCUGUGCCUAGCCUGGCCGCCGGCCCCGGCUGGUGCGCCCGCCAGCGGUCCGACAAAUUACGAUUGUCAGUGCAGUCUGAGUAAUAUUUAAUAGUUAAAACUUUCAACAACGGAUCUCUUGGUUCUG